RNAcentral lists this ribosomal RNA (468 nucleotides) under uncultured bacterium. Its description in RNAcentral is "partial 16S ribosomal RNA". It matches the Rfam family "Bacterial small subunit ribosomal RNA", at positions 28 to 507 of the family's 1533-position model. The record is from RNAcentral.
GACGAACGCUGGCGGCGUGCUUAACACAUGCAAGUCGAACGGAAAGGCCCUGCUUUUGUGGGGUGCUCGAGUGGCGAACGGGUGAGUAACACGUGAGUAACCUGCCCUUGACUUUGGGAUAACUUCAGGAAACUGGGGCUAAUACCGGAUAGGAGCUCCUGCUGCAUGGUGGGGGUUGGAAAGUUUCGGCGGUUGGGGAUGGACUCGCGGCUUAUCAGCUUGUUGGUGGGGUAGUGGCUUACCAAGGCUUUGACGGGUAGCCGGCCUGAGAGGGUGACCGGCCACAUUGGGACUGAGAUACGGACCAGACUCCUACGGGAGGCAGCAGUGGGGAAUAUUGCACAAUGGGCGGAAGCCUGAUGCAGCAACGCCGCGUGUGGGAUGACGGCCUUCGGGUUGUAAACCGCUUUCGCCUGUGACGAAGCGUGAGUGACGGUAAUGGGUAAAGAAGCACCGGCUAACUACGUG